AUGCCGAAGGACGGGAGGCGGCGCAGGAGGGGGAAUCCGGAGACGGAGACGGAAGCGAGGAAGAAGAGGAAGACCAAGAGAAGCGUGGCAGAGGAUCGAAGAUUGAUUUUCGCGGCAUUCGAGAGUGAAAAAGCAAAACCCCGACCAAAAUUAGAUCCUGUGUACGACGACGACGACGAUGCGGUCGAGUCCUCGUCGGAGGAAUCCUCCUCAUGUCCACCCAGCCCUCUCAUGUACAGACCCUACAUACCCGAUGAGCUAGCUGAUGACCCGGACCUACGUGCCGCCCUCAGGAUCGCCAACACCGAAUAUCAUGCAGAUAGAGUUCAUGCCUGUCCAACGACCGACGCCUUCUUCAUAUCCGCGAGCAUGCAAAGGAUGCCGUGCUUCUUGCCGCCGACUCUAUCAUCACCCUCUCGUCCUAUCUCGUUUACUUCAAUGGCAGAAGCAGACGACGAUGAGCCGUUGAAUACGUGUUGUGGUUUGUGGAUUCAACAUGACAUGAAGAAGAAAACUGCCGUGGUUUUGACGUCCGCGCAUCUGAUUCGCGCAAAGGAUCCAUCCGUGAGGAACCCGUGGAUGCUCGGGUCCACAUGCGAAUAUCAUCGCGAUGCUGAGGUCAUUGUUCACUUGUUGGACGGCGAAACUGCAGUAGCCACUCUCCUCUACCUCGAGGAGCACUAUGAAUUUGCUCUUUAUGAGGUUGUAGUGGACAAACCGGUUCAGUUGCCCACUUUUAACGACAACGUGCAUUCUGGUCAAGACGUUUUCCGACUUGGAAGAGAUGAAAGUCUUGAUCUGAGGAUAACACAUGGUAGGGUGGAAUAUGAAAUUCCAACCCGUCACGAGAGAUGUCACUACAUGUAUUUUUCCCACGAUGAACGUACAAGUUUGCAUGACGAUGGAGGCCCUGUCGUUGACUUAGAAGGCAAGGUUGUGGGAAUGGUUCACAAUCAAUUCAAAGAGACCUUUUUACCUUCUUCUAUAUUGCACAAGUGCUUGGAUUCGUGGAGAAAGUUGAAAUGCAUCCCUCGUGCCCACCUUGGAAUGACCUUUACUUCCAUCAAGCUUCUAGAUCCUAUUUGUAUUGAGAGGAUGAGGCGUAAGCAUAACAUUGCAUCUGGUCUUCUUGUUGAACAGGUGUCAAAAGAAUCGAAUGCUGAGAAACUUGGAAUCCGCAUGGGUGAUGUUAUUGAACGCUUCAAUGGAGAGUGUAUUUCUAAUACAACUGAGUUGGAAAAGAUGCUGCUGGAUAUAGGCGGAGACCAUUUUGAUCAAGCAAAAGUCUUAAAGGCCGAAACAGAUGUUCGAAUUCAAAUAUUCCAUGCCACAAAACGUUGCCGAAGAGUUAGAAAUUUGACCGUAACUGUAUCGGAUUGUGGAGAGGACAUCAUAGAAGAAUUUCUUGAAUUCUUCCUGCCCUUUGCUUCAUGGAAUGCACUUACCCUAUUACUGAUGGCCUUUGGAGAUGAGUGA
Molecule: ribosomal RNA, 1476 nt
Filed under: Triticum aestivum (bread wheat)
Lineage: Eukaryota; Viridiplantae; Streptophyta; Magnoliopsida; Poales; Poaceae
Description: partial small subunit ribosomal RNA
Source: RNAcentral